This is a long non-coding RNA of Macaca mulatta (Rhesus monkey), 767 nucleotides long. The record is from Ensembl. Lineage: Eukaryota; Metazoa; Chordata; Mammalia; Primates; Cercopithecidae.
AUGUUAAAGCGAGGCCACCCAAGCUGCAGAGGGUGGCUCCAGUUUCCUAGAAUUUCUCUCACUUUCCUUCAGUGGCACGAGGAUGAUGCUCAGGCACCAGGAUCACUUUGUGGAGGGAAAAGCAGAGGCUCCCCACUGGGUCAGCUGGGGCUUCACGAAAUUCACCCCAGUGCUGCAAGAGGCUGCCGAGCUUGGUCACCAUCAGCAAUGCAUCUUCAACUUUAUUUCCUGUGUUGCUCUUCUGGGAAAACUUUUGGCAACAGAGGAAUCAAGAACCAUCGCUCAUGCCAGCGAGAGAGUCUGAGGCUGCACUGCCACUCCAUCCAGCAUGACCUUUGGUAGAGAGCAGUUCUUCCAGCUCGUGCGGGCGACACUGUAUCAGCUGGUGAAAGAGCAAUCUCUCUUCUCUAGGACAGAUGGAUAAAAUACGACAAUAGAGAUUUUCCAAAACAUGUUCUUAUCCAUCACCUAGUCUCACUGAAUCCUCACAGCACCCCUCUUCAGCUGCUAUCAUGAGCACCGCUGUCCGGAUGAGGGGCUGAGGCUCAGAGACAUCCGCAGAACUGAUGUGUAGGGUGGCCCGGAGGACUUAUCCUCCCCUCAACUCGAAUGGUGGCUCUGUGAUGCCGUGCUAAUAUCUGUGAGCCUCAGUUUCUGUCAAAUGAAGGCAAUCUUAACACUUACUUUAUAGAGUUUUUGUGAACAUUAAGAAUUCAAUAUACAGUUUGUAAAGUGGUGCUUGGCACCAAUAAGAGCUUAAUAAAUAC